Fukomys damarensis (Damara mole-rat) is the source of this 1933-nucleotide long non-coding RNA. RefSeq lists it as uncharacterized. NCBI's taxonomy places the organism in Eukaryota, Metazoa, Chordata, Mammalia, Rodentia, Bathyergidae. The transcript is spliced from 3 exons. The record is from RefSeq and is a predicted model, not a curated record.
GAGCUGGGCUGCACUAAUUGACCUCAAGGGUCUCAGCUGUGCUAAGUUGGGUGUUUGUUAGAUCUCUGUUAGGCUUGUAAUUAGUGCAGGGAAUCUAGGUCAGAGGCGACGGGCUGGCGCGAAGGUCUCCUGGGGCCGGAAGAAAGGUGGGGAAUAGCAAACAGGUUCCUCUCUGUGUGGGUGGGGCGAGCUAGGGACAGGGGACCGCGGGCCUCAUGGGGUCCACACAGACAACAGGAUCACGUGCAGAAAGGCACUCAGCUCUGUUGUGGGGUGUGUGUGUGUGUGUGUGUGUGUGUGUGUGUGUGUUCCUCUGGCUUUUACUCGGGUUUCCUUCCAACCUCUCCAUAUAUGGUGCGGCUCUAGAGCGGGCUGGGGAUUGGCUGCUGUUGUUGGGAGACCGGGCGGUAGGAGGGAAGCGAAAAAGAAAUGAACCAGGCUUAGGGAGGCAGGGAGAAGGGGGAGGGCGCAGUAGCCCAGCUCCCGGGGUUGCCGAAGGGGGCUAAGUCUGCUUGUCUGAGGUUUAGACAGGCGAGAGACUCUUUGGAACCGGUUUCUGGGGAGAUGGAGAGCCUCCCAAAGGAGCUUCCCUUUUCCAUUUCCUCUGCGCAAGAAGAUAAUGUAACAAAGUCAAUGGAAGGAAGAAGAGAGGAAGCAAGGGACAUCUUGCAAGAGUGUCCACAGGCAGCUGUAUCGUGAGCGUUGUCCCAAGGAGCCACAGUCCUUUCGCCAGCGGCUCCCUCCGUCCACUCCCCAGACACGGCGCCUGGGAAGGAAGCGGCGUCCUCCUCUUGCCGGUCGCCCACCACCACGAACGAUGCUCCUAGUGGAAACCGGGCUUUGUGUUGAGCUGUCCUGAAGCCCACGGACUGUGCCCCACUCCGCCCUUACUCUCUCUCUCUCUCUGGAAGAGAGGUGUGGGGUGUCAAACACUGACAGUGACGAGCCUGUACCCCAGCCCUUGUCCAAAGGGUGCUCUGGCCAUCUGAGCUCCAGGUCCUGGCCUGCUGAGCGGUGCUAAUCAGAGCCGCCACAGCCUGCACGUGUUGACCGACGGGCUCUUCCCACACGCCGCCCUUCACCCAUUCAACAGCUCGUGUUUAAAGCCCAGGGGGAGACGGACACCCAGAAAGCCUGUGCUCACUUCACCACCUUGUGGCAUGGGUGCGCCAGCAGAGAAAAGCAGCAAAUAAAAUAAAUGGAGUUGUGCAUCCUAUUGUGGACAAGCUCGCAAGAAAGCCCGGCAGCUGCAGGCGGCACAUGGGAUAGGCAGAGGUGUUCUCGCAGAGCUCGGCCGCUCGGCACUGUCUGUGGAAGGAGCGGGGAGACUACAGGAAACCCUUGCACGGCUGAAAGAGGAACCCAGACAUAGGUUUGGUUUCCCCCUUGAACCUACCCAGCUUGAAUCACAAAUCAGUUUCACUCUUAGUUCAGUUCUUCCACGGGGUCAGCAGUUCCCAGUUCCCCUGUGCUCGGCCUCCUAGUCAGGUGACCAAGCUAGUCCAUCCGGCCGAGGGAAGGGCAGCCCAAGACCCCACCAACCCCCACCUUGCGUUAUGGGGAUGGAACCCAGGUCCUCACCAUACUGGGCAACCACUCUACCGCUGAGCCCUUGCCUGGCCCCAGCCCGAGGCAGCUCAAUCUUGAGAGACUGCUAUGCGUGAGAAGCCAGUGUCGCGCCUGGGAGAGUUUAAUUCCACACAUCCUCUGCAGGGACGGGGUAAAUUUCACUUCUCCUGUGGCAUGGACAGGUGGCCUUGGCCUCCACAUCCCUAGAACUAGAGUUAGGCAGCUGAAAUUUCACCCUCAGAUUCAAAGUGCGGAAUGGGACACACGAGAAAACCUGCUCUUCCCCAGCCCCUUCUGGAUUUAGAAGCCUGUGUGUGGCUCUGUCCAUCAGCCACAGGCCCGGGAGGUGGGCAGGGUCUGCGAA